UAACGAGGGCUUAACUGUCUCCUUUUUCAAGUCAAUGAAAUUGAUCUCCCCGNGCAGAAGCGGGGAUAAAACCAUAAGACGAGAAGACCCUAUGGAGCUUUAGACACCAAGGCAGAUCAUGUUAAGCACCCCAAAUUAAAGGGCCAAACCAGAGGAGCCCUGCCCUAAUGUCUUUGGUUGGGGCGACCGUGGGGAAACAAAAAACCCCCAUGUGGAAUGGGAAAACCCUUUCCUAAAACUAAGAGCCCCCGCUCUAAUAAACAGAAUUUCUGACCAAUCAGAUCCGGCAACGCCGAUCAACGGACCGAGUUACCCUAGGGAUAACAGCGCAAUCCUCUUUUAGAGCCCAUAUCAACAAGAGGGUUUACGACCUCGAUGUUGGAUCAGGACAUCCUAAUGG
RNAcentral lists this ribosomal RNA (400 nucleotides) under Oplegnathus fasciatus (barred knifejaw). RNAcentral's name for it is "partial 16S ribosomal RNA". It matches the Rfam family "Bacterial large subunit ribosomal RNA", at positions 2002 to 2553 of the family's 2925-position model. Lineage: Eukaryota; Metazoa; Chordata; Actinopteri; Centrarchiformes; Oplegnathidae. The record is from RNAcentral.